AUAAUAAAAAAAUGAGGAAAUGCUGUGAAGAACUAAUAGAACAUUUCAGAAGCAGAACAAGUUGAGAGCAGUGAUGACCCUUUUGUUCCUGCUAGUACCUCCUGUCUGUCUGGCCAAACUCACCAUCAGAUGAUGUCUUGAACCUCACCUAGAUGGGCUGGUGGUGUGUGGCCAGGUUAAGAGCACCAAGAGGAGUAAGAAAGUGACGUGCCUGGUUUUACCGUGUCCGCUAGGGGAGGGGUUGAAAGCUUUCUCUUGAUACAUCACCUCUGGGAGUUGAAGAAGAAUGCAAUUAAGAGAGCUAAAGAAGUCAGUAUGGAAUCUGAAACUCAGAGGGUUACCUCCACAAAUCAGUACCUUGAUUAAAACUAGAACUGAAGUCAUCUUCACUUCCUCGUCUUUCUCCCUCUUCAUUAGGACUGAUUGUAGACUGUUUCCCUCUCACUCACUUGCAAUCUAUAUUGCUUUAGUGCUGCAUUUGAUUUUAUCUUUGUUUUUAAAUACUGACAUUAAAGUUAUAGAAAAAUCUAAAAAAAAACUGGUUGAAUGAAAAUUUUAAAAUCGACUCUAAUGUAAUAAACCCGACAAAAAUGAUACUUUAAAUGUUAUAUCUUCCCUUUAAACUACAAAUAUUUAGUGAGUGUAUACCAUGUAUUAGGCUGUUGGAAUAAAACAGGGAAGAAGACAGAAGAAACUGCAGCGCCAUCAUGGAUCUUGCAGCCAAAUUCCUCUGAACUUUUCUCUAAAGGCGUGCUCUGGAGAAACGUUGACCAUUUUCCUACGUCGUGGAGGUCUUUUCGUGACCACCUUUGUCUAGACAGUGUCCUGUUUUUAGGUGCACGUUUGAGGGCUGGAGUCUCUGACCCACAGUGCUGCAGCCUGCACGUGGUUUCUCCUGACUUCUUUGCUACUUCACUUUUUGUGAGGCUCUGAGAGUGCAG
This 941-nucleotide non-coding RNA is filed under the name Pan troglodytes (chimpanzee). Lineage: Eukaryota; Metazoa; Chordata; Mammalia; Primates; Hominidae. The record is from RNAcentral.